CCUACGGAGAGCUGCAGUGGGGAAUAUUGCACAAUGGGGGAAACCCUGAUGCAGCAACGCCGCGUGAAGGAAGACGGUUUUCGGAUUGUAAACUUCUGUCAUUAGUGAAGAAUGAUGACGGUAGCUAAGGACCAAGCCACGGCUAAAUACGAGCCAGCAGCAGCGGUAAUCAGUAGGUGGCAAGCGUUGUCCGGAAUUACUGGGUGUAAAGGAAGCGCAGGCGGGAAGCCAAGUCAGCUGUGAAAACUACGGGCUUAACUUGUAGACUGCAGUUGAAACUGGUUUUCUUGAGUGAAGUAGAGGUUGGCGGAAGUCCGGGUGUAGCGGUGAAAUGCGUAGAUAUUCGGAGGAACACCGGUGGCGAAGGCGGCCAACUGGGCUUUAACUGACGCUGAGGCUCGAAAGUGUGGGGAGCAAACAGGAUUAGAUACCCUAGUAGUC
RNAcentral lists this ribosomal RNA (441 nucleotides) under uncultured bacterium. RNAcentral's name for it is "partial 16S ribosomal RNA". It matches the Rfam family "Bacterial small subunit ribosomal RNA", at positions 338 to 795 of the family's 1533-position model. The record is from RNAcentral.